GUUUUUGCUCACCAAACCCACGUUUCUACUUUCAAAUGUGACUUUAUCACUUUUUGUGAUGUUUGGAUACAAUUAAAAGCAAAUCUGAAAACGCAGGUUUGAACCCAAAACUGAAGGUGAAAAACACAAGAAGGGGGGGGGGGGGUUGAAUUGUGUUUUCUUUUUCUCUUAAAAAAGGAUUCUUCUUCUGAUAAAACUUCAGAAGCAGUUUGAUUGCUUCUGAUGAAAUGAUCAGAGUCAGAUUGCAGCGGAAAAGAACAGAGCAGAGAAAAGAAAGACAAAGACACAGGCAGUUAUCCUGGUUCCUUCCACAACACGGAAGUAGUCCAGUCCCCCUUGCACUUCCAAGGAGAUUUCACUAUAAUCACAAGNNNNNNNNNNNNNNNNNNNNNNNNNNNNNNNNNNNNNNNNNNNNNNNNNNNNNNNNNNNNNNNNNNNNNNNNNNNNNNNNNNNNNNNNNNNNNNNNNNNNAAGCUUGUCUAUGUGUUGGCUAAGGGGUUGGUCAUCUGAUUCUGUUGAUGAUGAAGAGGGUGAAGAGGGUAGAGAUGGAAUCUGAGUAUUAGUUGGAGCGUUAGAUGGAUUACCUGAAGACUGAGCUUCUGGAUGAACUGCUUCUGGAGCUUCUGAAGCUGGUUCUGAUGAAGUUGCUCCUGAAGCUUGCUUAUUCUUCAAGGCUUGAGAAAGCAGAGUUGCUCCAUACUUAACAGUUUCUAACUCCGAUUCUAAAGCAACAAUGUCAGGAGUAGGCACAUACCCUGCAGCCUUGAGACGUUCAUCCCUUUCUUUUUCAUACAAAAUCUUCAUCCUUUUCUUUUCUGCUAUCUUGGAUGCAGCAACCUCCCUAGUAUACUGCUCCAUUUCUUCAGUCAUUUCGAAACUUGGCAUGACUAUGGGCUCAGAAGUUGCAGUCCUUUUUGCUUUCUUAGGGCUUGAGUCUUCAUCCCAGUUCUCUUCCAGUUCUUCCAACAUUUGUGCCCUUCUUCCUUCACCUGUCUUCAGAUUUCUUGUUAAAUUAGACCUUUUUCUUUUGAUGGUCUGAAGAGCAGCUUCUCUUUUAUUUUUGGGACACGGAGGCUUUUCAGAAGCAGCUUGAUCAGAAGCAGCUUGUUCUGAACCAGCUUGUUCAGAAGCAGGCUGUUCUGCUGUUUCUUGAGUACUCCUUGUCCUUUUUCUGAUAAGAGGGACAUCUUCCAAAUCCUCCACUUCCUCAAGAAUGGUGGACAUAGCAGAUUUUACCUUCUUAGCUUUCUUAUGCUUCUGAGCACCCACCUCAGUAGCAUUUUCAGCAAGGUAUUCUUCCUUGGUGAUCUGCUUCUUCUUAGAUUUUCUGCUUUUGGCCACAGGCAGCUCACCACCAUACAUUUGGUCAGGAACAUCCUUCAAGCUGAUUUUCUGGUUAAAGGAUUUGUAGUGAUCCAUGAUAUAUGCCCUUUGAACCUCCAAGGGAUCUUGUUUACAGAUGGGAGGAAAGUCUGGGAUAAGAUCUGAUUUGGCAUCAGAAGGUUUCAAGUCAGUAGGACUCUUCUUCACAUCUUUUGCUUUAAUCAGAUGCAUAGCCCUUAGAGUCUCACCAUUGAUAAUCUUCCCUCUAACAGUUCCCAACUGUUCAUCUGUGAAGAUCUGAGCUUCUUUCAGCAUCUCAAUAAUUCCUCCCUGAUGGAAAAUCUCAGAGAGUAGUCUUCCAUAGGGUACCCAAGACCUUUUAUUCAGUUGACUCUCUCUGAGUUGAUGAACCAUAUGUCUGAAUAUGUAUCUGGGAAUAUUUGCCUCUACACCCUUUAUGACAAAGUGUAAGAGGAUUUUAUGUUCCAGAGAGGGCUGAUCACCACCACCACCUUUUGGUAGUAGGUUUUCGUUCUGAAUCUUCAACAUAACCUUUGUCUUGGUGUUCAUGUCAGAAUAGGCAAAGUCCUUUACCUUGUUGUAGAGAGUUUUGUUAACAAUAGCAUUCCAGGGGCUGUCCUUUGGCUUUGAAAUCCCAGCCUCAUGUUCUCCUUCUGCUGGUCUUCUGAUGACAAAGGCAAUAGUGUCCUCAGUGAUCCAGACACGGAUUCCCAUGAUGCUUGAUCUUAUCUGGGUUUUGGAGAAAGUUUCCAAGCCCAUUUCCGCUUUAGACUUCCCUUUGAGUUCAGGAUUGAGAAGAACUUUUUCAUCUUCUUCAAUCUUGGCGGCUUCCCUAUCGUAGAUGCUGGCUCUAACCCAGAAAUGACGAACCAGUGUUUGAUAAGUUGGUCCAUUUAGAAGAUUGAAGUACCUUCCCAGACCUUGUUUCUCGUAGUACUUGCCAAUGUCACAGUCGUGAGCGGCCAAAGAAUCAAAAUCCACCGGACUUUCUGAUUGAAUGUUUAAUUCCCAUUCCUCCAAGGACAUAGUUCUUCCUUUGAUUUCAUAAGCAGGAGUAUCUAUAUCCAUAUUCGAUGAAGAACCACCGGCAGAACUUGAAGAUGCCAUUGAUAUGAAGUGGUUUUAGGGUUCUAAAGAGUUUUUGAGAGGAUGAGAGAAUGUGCUUACUUACACAGAGGGUUGAGAAGAAAUUAGAAAGUGUUUGUUGUGAAGUGAGAAGUGUGUGAAAUGACUUAGUGUUUUUUAUUAAAACGUUUGUAAUUCAGAAGGGACAAACAAACACAGCAUUAAUGACAAAUUGGGGGCGCGUGUAAGUAUGUUAAAAAGCGAAUAAAAACAUCAUUGCCCUUUUUGUUAUACUCCAAUACAAAUAGACCACGUCAGAGACUCUUCAGAAAACUACCUUUUGGGUAAUGGGACAGCUGUUACAUAAAGUAACUGCCAGCGUUCCCACUAACCAAGCUAUUCAGAAGCAAAGAAUAACACUUCUGAAGUUUUAGUGCUGACGUCAUCUUCAGAAGCACAUUUUCCUCAGAACCUCAGUUAAGAGCUUCUGAUGAACCAAAAAUGCUCCUGAAUAAACUUCAGAACCAAACUUCUUAUUCAGAGGCAAGCCAUUUUUCAAUCAGACACAAAAUGCAUGUUCAAAUUUUUCUUAAUAAAAUCAAAUCUUUCAACAGACAAAGGUUUUGUAAAUAUAUCAGCCCAUUGAUGUUCAGUAUCAAUGAAUUGUAUAUCUAAAAUUCCUUUUUGAACAUAGUCUCUGAUAAAAUGGUGUUUGAUUUCAAUAUGCUUGGCUCUUGAAUGUAGAAUUGGAUUCUUUGACAAACAAAUAGCAGCAGUAUUAUCACAAUAAAUGGGAAUACUGUUAGCAUUGAUCUGAUAGUCUUCCAACUGAUGUUUCAUCCAAAGUAGUUGUGUGCAACAACUUGCAGCUGAAAUGUACUCUGCUUCUGCUGUAGACAUAGCAAUAGUUGCUUGUCUUUUGCUUGCCCAGGAUAUCAGAUUCUCUCCCAGGAAUUGACAAUUUCCACUGGUUGAUUUUCUUUCAAUCCUAUCACCAGCAUAAUCAGCAUCACAGAAUCCAAUCAACUUAUAAUCUAGGGAUUUCCUAUACAGGAGUCCAAGAUUAGUUGUUCCUUUCAGAUACCUGAAGAUUCUCUUAACUGCAGUUAAAUGAGAUUCUCUAGGAUCUGAUUGAAAUCUUGCACACAAGCAUACACUGAAUAAAAUAUCAGGUCUAGAUGCAGUGAGGUAUAACAGAGAACCAAUCAUACCUCUGUAUAGCUUCUGGUCUACUACUGUUCCAGUAUCUUCUUUGCUUAAGGUGCAGGUUGGAUGCAUUGGAGUGUUCAUCACUUUACAAUCUUCUAGCUUGAACUUCUUCAGAAGCUCCUUUGUAUAUUUUGUUUGAUGAACAUAUACUCCUUCUUUACUUUGGUUGAUUUGAAUUCCCAGAAAGAAUUUCAAUUCUCCCAUCAUACUCAUUUCAAAUUCAUCCUGCAUUAACUUAGAAAAUUCUUUGCAAAGAGAUGCAUUAGUAGAACCAAAUAUUAUAUCAUCAACAUAUAUUUGCACAAUCAAAAUAUCUUUCUUAAGAGUCCUUCUGAAGAGUGUUGUGUCAACUUGUCCUCUUUCAAAAUCAUUUUUAAUUAAGAAAUUACUUAGUCUAUCAUACCAAGCUCUGGGAGCUUGUUUCAAGCCAUAUAGUGAUUUCUUAAGUUUAUAAACAUGGUCAGGAUGCUUAAGAUCCUCAAACCCAGGAGGUUGUUUAACAUACACUUCUUCUUCAAUGACACCAUUAAGAAAAGCACUUUUGACAUCCAUUUGAUAUAAUAUUAUGCCAUGAUUAAUUGCGUAGGAUAGAAGUAACCUGAUUGCUUCCAAUCUUGCAACUGGAGCAAAUGUUUCAGUGUAAUCAAUGCCUUCUUGUUGACUGUAGCCUUGAGCAACAAGUCUGGCUUUGUUUCUGGUUACUUCUCCUUGUUCAUUCAGCUUGUUUCUGAAUACCCAUUUUGUUCCAAUAAUGUUCUUCUGAGAAGGUUUGGGUACCAGAUCCCACACAUCAUUCCUUUGGAAUUGAUUUAGCUCUUCUUGCAUAGCUAAUAUCCAUCCAUCAUCUGAGAGAGCUUCUUCAACAGUUUUAGGCUCAAUUAUUGAAAGCAGUCCUAUUAAAGACUCUUCUUGUCUAAAAUGUGAUCUUGUUCUUCUAGGACUAUCUUUGCUUCCAAUGAUUAACUCCUCAGGAUGUGAAGAUUUGUGCUUGAAUUUAGGUUGAAUAACCUGCUGAGUGUUAUCUUGAAAGUCCUCAGAAGCACUUUCAUUCUGUACUUUUGGGCUAGGUUCUGCUUCUGAAUUAGACUCAGCUUCUGGAGUGAUUUCAGCUUCUGGACAAGAUUCAACUUCUGUAUACUUUUCAGAAUCAGAAGGUUGAUCAGAUUCUGAUGCAUCUUCAGAAUCAGUUGUACCUGCAUUACUUUCACUUUGCUCUGAAGUUUUACUUCCAGGCUCUCUAUCAUCAAAUUUUACAUGCAUAGAUUCUUCAACACAUUGUGUUUCUGAAUUAUACACUCUGUAUGCCUUUGACCUUUCAGAGUAACCUAAAAAGAUUCCUCUUCGAGCCUUGGCAUCAAAUUUCUUCAGAUAGUCUUUAGUGUUUAAGAUGUAACAAGUACAUCCAAACUGAUGAAAGUAAGAGAUAUUGGGUCUUCUUCCUUUAAAGAGUUCAUAUGUUGUUUUCUCCAACAUAGGUCUGAUAUAGAUCCUAUUUUGAAUAUAACAUGAAGUAUUGACUGCUUCUGCCCAAAAAUGUUUAGCUAAGUUGUUUUCAUGGAUCAUGGUUCUGGCCAUUUCUUGUAAGGUUCUGUUCUUUCUUUCUACAACCCCAUUUUGUUGUGGAGUUCUAGGAGAAGAAAACUCAUGGAGAAUCCCAUGUUUUUCACAAAAAACUUCAAAUGGCUCAUUUUCAAAUUCUCCACCAUGAUCACUUCUGACUUUCAAAAUUUUCAAUUCUUUUUCAGAUUGUAUUUGAGUGCAGAAGCUGCUAAACACUUCACAUGCAUAGUCUUUACUUUUAAUGAAUUUUACCCAAGUCCAUCUGCUGUAAUCAUCAACAAUGACUAAUCCGUAUUUACUUCCAUAUAAAGAUGCAGUGUUAACUGGACCAAAAAGAUCAAUAUGGAGUAAUUCUAAGGGUCUGGAGGUUGAUACAAUGUCUUUAGAUUUGAAAGAACUUUUCACAAUUUUCCCUUUCUGACAUGCACCACAAAGUGCAUCUGAAUGAUAAUCAAUGUUAGGCAAUCCUUUGACCAGUUGUAACUUGCUAAUUUUAGAAAUUAAUCUCCAAUUAGCAUGUCCCAACCUUUUAUGCCAUACCCAUUUUUUAUCAUUCAUUGACAGAAGGCAAACUACCUUCUGAUCAGCCAGAUCAGAGAAAUUUAUUUUAUAAACAUUCUCAACUCUCUUUCCCUUGAAUGUAAUGGAUUUGUCAUCCUUGUUGACUAGUGUGCAGUUGGUCUUACUGAACGUUACAUCAUACCCAUUGUCACAAAAUUGACUAAUGCUCAAUAGGUUAUGCUUCAGACCAUCUACUAGCCACACAUUAUUAAUUGAGAUGGAGGAAUUACCAAUAGUACCUGUACCAAUGAUCUUUCCAGUUUGGUUGCCACCAAACUUCACUUCUCCUCCAUCUUUCAUUGUAAGGGUAAGGAACAAAGCUUUCUCUCCAGUCAUGUGCCUUGAACAUCCGCUGUCUAGGUACCAUGACCUUUGUUUCUCUCUUGCCCUUAAGCACACCUGCAUUUUUGGCCAAUUCAGAUUUAGGUACCCAUAUCUUCAUGGGUCCUUUUGGGUUAGUUUUGGAGGUUUUACUUUUCCUCCCUUGUACCUUAGGGUGAAUGCUGAGUGGCUUCUGAUCAUUCAAUACUUUGGGUUUGACACCUUUUGGUAUUGUUUUCUCAGAAGCAGUAGCUGCUUUGUUCUUCUGAUCCUUUUGUUUUGGAAUUUUAGAUUCUGGUUUAAUCAGAUUCUGAUGAACAGGUUCUGAUCUUUUCAGAAUUUUAAUCUUUUGACUCUUAGGAUCAGAUUUUGUCAUUACCUUGAUCUUAAGAUUCUCUGGCUUUGAUGUGAUCUUAGCCUGUGAAUCUGAAGCUUCAGGUUUUGACUGAACAGCAGUUAUAGCAUUUGUACCUUCAGGCACAAAGGUGGAUUUCAAUCCAUCCUUGAUACAAUCACAGUAGCUCUUGAGACUGUAUUCUUUGGAUUUCUCCUCAGAAUAUCCAAUCCCUUUGCCUUUGUUCUUGUAUGUGCUGUAGAUCAUAGAAGCAACUCUUGCUUCUGUCUAUUCCAGCCAUAAUAAAAUCAUCCAAGGCAAUCUCAUGUUUAUUGCCUGAACCUUUAUCACAUUUUUCUUGUAGCUUCUGACAAAGACUCUUGAGUCUAUCUUCAUAUGUUGUUGAUAUGAGGUUAAACCCUUUGAGUUCUUCUUCAGAAGCUUUCAGUUCCAAUAGAGUUGAUUUUUGUUGUUUCAUCAAAUCAACAUAUUUUUCUUUUAAAUCUGUCAACUCAUUGGUUCUGUGUUCAAAUAGUGAUAAAAGUUCUUUUAGAGAAUCAACAAGUUCUUGUCUAGGGAUUUUGGAAUAUACCUCAUUUUCAUCUUCUGAAUCUGAUUCAGCUUCUGAUACUGCUUCUGAUGAUACUGUUGCCACUAAUCCAACGGCUGCCUUAGCAUCAUCAUCAGCUUCUUCUUUAUCAGAACCAGAUUCACUAUCCAAAUCUUCCCAGGUCGCCAUCAAGCUCUUUUUGAUUUGCUUUCUGAAUUUACUGGAGUUGAAGCUUGAUUUCUUGGAUUUGCCUUUAAACUUCUCCUUCUGAAGAUCAGGGCAAUCAGCAAUGAAAUGACCAGGCUUCUUACAAUUGAAGCAUCCCUUCUGAUCUUCUUUCUUGAAGUUCUUGUAGCUACCUCUCUUGCUCAAAAAUUUCUUCUGCUUCCUUGCCAGAUACUCAAGCUUGUUGGACAGCAUAGCCAUCUUUACAGAUUGAUCUUCAUCAGAAUCUCCAUCAGGUGAUUCUUCUUCAGAUUCACUGGCUUUGUAGGCUUUGGAAGACUUUGAGGUCUUUCCUUUAGAUGGUAAAGCAAUGGAUUUACUCUUCUUAGAGGUUUCAUGCUCAUUUAAACUCAUUUCAUGCACUUUGAGUGAGCUAACAAGAUCUUCAACACUUAAAGUAUUUAGAUCCUUAGCUUCCUCAAUAGCAGUUACUUUGGGUCUCCAUCUUGAAGGUAAGCUUCUCAAAAUCUUACUAACAUGAUCAGAAGCAACAUAGCUUUUCUUCAGUAUCUGCAAUCCAGAAACUAAAGUUUGAAAUCUUGAGUACAUUUCUUCUAUACUCUCAUCAUCCUUCAUUCUGAAAAGUUCAUACUGAUGAACUAGCAUCAAAGCUUUAGCCUCUUUCACCUUCUUGCUGCCUUCAAAGUUGGCACAUAGUGACGCAAACAUAGCCUUCGCAGUAGAUUUGUCACUCAUCUUCAUGUAUUCAGUGCGAGGUAUAGAAGCCACAAUAAUCCCUCUGAUUUUGUGGUGCUUCUUGUAAAGCUUCUUCUGAGCAGGAGUAUGUAUUUUUCUAUCUAUAGCAGCUCCUUCUUCAUCUAAAUCCAGGUCAUCAACUCCAUCUUCCAGUAUGUCCCAUAACUCUUCAUCUAAUCCCAUGAUAAAGCUGUACAUAUUAGUUUUCCACCAAGAAAACUCUUCUGGAUCUCCAUUAAACCUUGGAGCUUUUCCAGAGUCUGUUUUCUUGUCAGCAGUAUCAUAGUCAUGCUUGACGCUUGUGUAUUUUGGAGUAACUGAUUCCUCAUCUCCAGACAUGUUUUUCUAAUAGAUCUUGAACUGUAACACGGUUAAGUGCUGUGAUAACAGAGCAGGCUCUGAUACCAAUUGAAGGUGAAAAACACAAGAAGGGGGGGUUGAAUUGUGUUUUCUUUUUCUCUUAAAAAAGGAUUCUUCUUCUGAUAAAACUUCAGAAGCAGUUUGAUUGCUUCUGAUGAAAUGAUCAGAGUCAGAUUGCAGCGGAAAAGAACAGAGCAGAGAAAAGAAAGACAAAGACACAGGCAGUUAUCCUGGUUCCUUCCACAACACGGAAGUAGUCCAGUCCCCCUUGCACUUCCAAGGAGAUUUCACUAUAAUCACAAGAUUACAACUGCUCAAUACUUUCAAAGUAUGAGACUUCACAAAACAAUGCUCAAGCACACACGCAAGAGUCUUCCAAUGCUCAAGCACUAAGCAAGAGACUUCUAAUGCUCAAGCACGCAGGCAAGAGACUUCUAAUCAAACAAAAAUACAGAGAAUUGAGUUUGAAUUGAACACUUGAUAUACAAUCAGUGGUGUUCACAAUACAAUACAGAAAAGACUCUAGACUUUGAAUUUCUAAGAUGUAUCAAAUCAGUGCAGAAAUUCAGUGUGCUUUGUAGAAUCAAAUUGACAGAGUUUUGGCGCUUUUGAACUUAUGUAUCUCUAUCUAAAAUCUUCAAGUCUUCAUUCCUUUAUAUAGAGGCGUGAAAGAGACGUUGAGAUAAUCAGCACGUCUAAAGAGUCGUUUGAAAUCCUUUGAUUAUCCACCAGUGAUCCUUUGCCUGAUUUGGGUGUAGUCCUUUGAAGAAUAAACUUCAAAUUCAUUCCCAUCUUGAGUGUACAAAUUCUGCAGGCAUGGCUGUUGUUUUGUCUUGUAGCGUAGACAGAAAACAGAGUAGUGGAGGUAGUGGUUGUACACUUGUACUUUGUCAACUCUAUUAAUGAGAGACAAGUGCUCAGUGCUAUCCAUAUAUCCGUUGAUACCUCCCUUUCAAUUCUUCAUUCUUCUUUGAUAAGACUGAAUUGAGAAUCAGCAACUUUGAAUCUUCAGUUUGACUAAAGGAUCAAAUGUAGCUUCUGGUGAAAAUAUUGCUUCUGAUGAAAACUUUUGCUUCUGAUGACUUUCUGCUUCUGAUGACUUUCUGCUUCUGAUGACGUCAUCUCUUCAGGAGCAGUUUAGCUUCAGGAGCAGUUUUCUUCAGAUGCUCAGAAUUUCUUUUUCUUUCCAUUGUUCUUCCAAGACCUAUUGAAAUAACUUGAGUAGCCUUUGGUCCUGUACACUUGAACAAUUAUUAGUAAUAACCAAUUGACAAUUUUUAAUACCUUGUUAUCAUCAAAACUUAAUAAGGUUCAUUGUGAAACACAUUUUGUUCCAACAAAAACGUGGGUUUAGAAGAAGCCAGAAAACAUAGUGUCUGUUUGGUUGAGCGUUUUUGCUCACCAAACCCACGUUUCUACUUUCAAACGUGACUUUAUCACUUUUUGUGAUGUUUGGAUACAAUUAAAAGCAAAUCUGAAAAUGCAGGUUUGAACCCAAAACGUGGGUUUAGAAGAAGCCAGAAAACAUAGCUUCUGUGGCAACUCAAACUUGGUUGGAAAUUUGCUUUUAGCUAACAAAUGUAUUUUCCCUAUUUACCCAUGCUUCUCAAGCUCCAAUUUUUUCCCCUCAAUUUUCAAUUUUUUAUUUCUCUAGAACACUUUCUACUUAUUUUUCCAGAUCUGGAGAAAAACGAAAAUGAGUGAGGAAGAAUAAUUAAAUCACUCCAUCUCCAUGAAAGCUUCAAUCAACACAAGAAUGAAAAAUUAAAAAUUUUGGGAAAGAGAUGAGGGAAUUAGAGUGGUAAAAGAAUAUUGAAAGAUGAUAGAAUGAGGAACUGUUAAAGAA
RNAcentral lists this long non-coding RNA (10071 nucleotides) under Medicago truncatula (barrel medic). RNAcentral's name for it is "long non-coding RNA (MTRU_LNC002503)". Lineage: Eukaryota; Viridiplantae; Streptophyta; Magnoliopsida; Fabales; Fabaceae. The record is from RNAcentral.